This 351-nucleotide long non-coding RNA is filed under the name Helianthus annuus (common sunflower). RNAcentral describes it as "hypothetical non coding rna". The record is from RNAcentral. Lineage: Eukaryota; Viridiplantae; Streptophyta; Magnoliopsida; Asterales; Asteraceae.
UUAGUAAGAGGGAGAGGGGGGUUUUCUCUCCAAAAUCCCUCUCCUAAAUUCAGCAAAAUUAUAAGAAGAUUUGAGGUUAAAUCGUUGCAUGUUUGAAGAUACUGAAUCACUAGUAUCGUCAACACCCAAGGCAACUCAAGUGAGGGUUUGGGAAGCUGAGCCGGGAAGGAAGCAUGUCAAGGGUGACCUCUAAGCCUAUACUUGAAUAUCAUUGCAACCCUGGAUCUUGCAUCGUUCGAAGGUGCUAAAUCACAGAGUUGUUCAAGGAGAUAUAGCCUCUUUCUCUUCAACAUUUCCUCCAUCAGCAAUGGUUUUUUUUUCACGCCAUGUUGGAUGCAGUCCUAUAAAGUG